UGUUAGGUUGGUGCAAAAGUAAUUGCAGUUUUUGCCAUUAAAAGUCAUGGCAAAAGUAGGAUUGCUUUUACACAAACCUAAUUAGAUCAUUCCCCUU
Chlorocebus sabaeus (green monkey) is the source of this 97-nucleotide microRNA precursor. NCBI's taxonomy places the organism in Eukaryota, Metazoa, Chordata, Mammalia, Primates, Cercopithecidae. The record is from Ensembl.